This 77-nucleotide transfer RNA is filed under the name Candidatus Peregrinibacteria bacterium. RNAcentral's name for it is "tRNA-His". It matches the Rfam family "tRNA". From Rfam's summary of the family: Transfer RNA (tRNA) molecules are approximately 80 nucleotides in length. Lineage: Bacteria; Candidatus Peregrinibacteriota. The record is from RNAcentral.
GUGAGUGUAGCUCAACUGGCUAGAGCACCGGACUGUGGAUCCGGAGGUUGGGGGUUCGAGACCCCUCACUCACCCCA